Molecule: long non-coding RNA, 3901 nt
Filed under: Olea europaea subsp. europaea
Lineage: Eukaryota; Viridiplantae; Streptophyta; Magnoliopsida; Lamiales; Oleaceae
Source: RNAcentral
UCUAAGAACACGAAGAACAGUAAAGAAAAUGAAUAACUGACUCAACGAGAAUUAAAAGGAAAUAUAACCUUUGAUUGGAGCCAAGCUCUGAUACCAACUGAUGUGAACCCGCGUAGGCAAACGUUACGGAUCCCACGAACAAGAUGAAAAUCUUCCCAAGAAAGUCAAAGCAAGGUUUUGAAUUCGAAUUCAAUAAAUUUGGAAUCAAGCAACUCGAAUCGCCGACGAUGUGCGGACCUCUUGAUUACGCAAAGUUAUAGAAUCUCACCCAAUUGAUUUGAACGUCACAAGAAUUAGAUUUUGAUAAGUUCGAAAGUUGUUCAAUUGGAAGAACAAAGAGAAAGUAAUUAAAACCUUUCAAUUAAUCAAUAUGUCAAAGAUUCAUUUACAAUGAUGAAAUAAACUUCUAUUUUAUACUAAAUCCUAGAGUAGAAGUCAAAAAGGAAUAAAAUACUAAUAAUCUAGUAGAAUCUCAAAAAUAACCAUCCAAUAUCAUAAGAAUUUGACUCGGAACAAAAUUCCGACAAAAUAUGUAAAAAACGCGGAAAAAGAAAAUUUUGUUCCCUGAAAUAACACUAUGCGACCGCAUAGUGUAAAUCUAUGCGAUCGCAUAGUUCACUUGAACUAUGAUCGCAUUGGCCUUACCACACCCUAUGCGACUGCAAACCCCAUUUUACUAUUCGGUUGCAUGAUAGACCAAUUUGCUUCCGUUUUCGUCGACUUGUAUUAAGUUGAUCCAAUUUGAUUCGGCUCUUGACCCGAAUAUGAAAGUUGCCUCAUUUUGGAUCCCGAACAUCGUUCCAUCAAUGGUUUCUUGAACAAGCAAUCAUAUCGCCUCUUUUACUAGCUUCGUCCUUGCUCGAGUCAUCGGACCUCCCUCAACUAUCAACGAAUCUUUCUUCGACCUUGAUGUUGAACUUGACAUUGAUGCUUGCGACUCUUGGAUCCCAUCAUCGUUUGUGAUUGUUGCAUAAGUAAUUUCACAAUUAUAUCUUGGAAGUGAUUUUUUAAAUAAGUCACGACACUUAACUAUGGACAAUUUCACUUUAGGAUAUCGUGCUAUCACAAAUCUCGAUCAUUCGAUAAGCCUUCACACUUUCUGCAUUUUAGUAUUUGGGAAAGGUACUUGUAGCUAAUUUUAUCCUACAUUUUACCAUUUUGCCCUUUUUAAAUUAAUGAAAAGGUGAUCAAAAUUUGCUUUGAUGGUCAACUGACGACAUUUUUCACGAAAAUCAUUCAAAAUGACCUCACAUACAAUAUUUGGAAAGAUUAGAGGUAACGGUUGAAACAAAUAAAAGGUUUGGAAAAAGUUUGUUAAUAUUUCAAAGGUUUAAAACUUUUGCUGUAAUUAUCCCUAAAUUCAAUGGCUAAUGAAUCUAUUGAUAAUAGGUCGAUGAAUAAAUCGUGAUAUGGCACAAAUUUCGAUGACCAAUGUAACAUUUAACUCAACAUUUCCAAUUAAAAGAAGUAUUUUAUAAAAUUAAGGGAUAAUUGCAACCGAGACCCCAAACCAUUCCAAAAGUUACAGACUUUUUCCUAACAUUUCAUUUAUUGCAAUCGUCACUCCAAACCUUUCAAAACAUUGCAAAUCAAGCCCCAAUGGAUGGAUUCCAUCCAUAUUUCUGUUAGUUGACACAAAAAUUGGAUUUUAACCACAAUUCAAUAAAUUUUGAAAGGACAAAAUGGUAAAUUUAUAAUUUCUACAUUAGAAACUUAAAUUAAAAACAACAAAACAAAAGAAAAUAAAAUGAAAAGGAAAAAAAGUAUCUUCUUCUCCCUCACCCCCACGCCAAACAUAACAUCUACUGUCACCACCAUCUCCUCCAAAAUCGACCGCACCCCAACAACAACCACCACUACCACAUCUAUCACCACAUCCCAAGCGAAAACCAAAAAACUUGAAUCAAUCCGUGAAACCACGCUCCUUUAUUGCACUUAACAUAUUACACAUCUAGGUUUUCAUAUCCGCCUCCCUUCACACGCACCAUUUUCUGUAGAAUUUACAUUAUAAAAAGACGGCCCAGGCUCGACUUCUCUCUCUACAAACCCUUCACUUUAUGCUGCUCCAACACUCUUCACUUGAUCUUUUUAUCACUAUUUUCCAAUUUCUGCUGAGCCCCUUUGAAAUUUUCCAAUGGGAAACCCAACAAACACAAUUACAAGGGUGACUAUAAUUAAACCUUAGAGAACCAACAGCCAAUAAUCCUCUUCAAAUAAGGAAUCCCAUAUUCUGUUCUUUCAUAUUUUUCUCUGUAAACUAAGCCAUAAAAAAAAAAACUUCUAUUUUCUAUGUAAGGGAGAAGAAGAUAUAUUUUCUCCUUUUUAUUUUAUUUUUCUUCUUUUUUGUUAUUUUUAAUUUAAGUUUUUAAUGUGAAAAAUAUAAAUUUAUCAUUUUGUCCUUUUAGAAUUGAUUAAAAUGUGGUCAAAAUUCAAUUUUUAGGUCAACUAACAAAAAUACGGACGAAAUCCAUCCGUUAAGACUUGAUCUGCAACAUUUUGAAAACUUUGAAAUAAUAAUUGCAACAAAUGAAAAGUCAGAAAAAAAUCUGCAACUUUUUGAAAGGUUUGAAAUCUCAAAUACAUUUAUCCCCAAAAUUAACCAAAUAGAUUCUAAAAUAAUUUUUGAAUUCCAAAAACUCAUUUUGACUUCACAAAAAAGCCAUACAUAUGGUCUUAAAAUAAUUUUUGUAAGGUUGUCUUAAAAUGUAGCAAUUUCAAUCUUCCAACCCCCUUCUUCACAACAUCAACAGUCCAAAUAUGCAAAUUUGAAUUGAAAUUUUGCUAGAUGAAAAUGUAGCCGAGUCCAACAUGCUAAUACAAGUUAAUUCUCUUGUUCUCUUGUUUGAGUUUUCAUCAUGCUAAUACAAGUUAAUUCUCUUGUUUGAGUGUUUUCUUUUUCCAGAGAAUUUGUACAAUGCCUUUAUGAACGUCAGAGAUGAUGAAGCAGAGCAUUGUAAGACAAUGUGAGCCUGUCAGACUCAUGGUAGCAUCCGAUCUCCCCACUCGUAUCAAGAAGAUGCACGGGAUGAUAUGAUUUGGUCGUGUAUCGUGCCUAAGGUAGACCGUGAAGGCAUUAUAGAUUAUAUAAAGAAAUCCGUUAAGGCCUCCGGCCAAAAGAAGGGGUGAUAUAUGAAGCAAAAAGAAUCAAUGAAAUUUUACUGUAGUUGAAUACAUUUUUACUAGAGGAAAAUCAAAUCUGCACCGGAAUAGUCAUUUAGAUCUUAGCCUCCAUUAGGAAAAAAAUUAUUAACUGGUUUUUUGACAAAUUAAGAUCAUACUUCUAUAAAAAAAAAAGGUGCUUAAACAGAAGAAUUCGGAAAGAAAUUUUGAUAUGCUUAUAUAAAAUACAAAUAAACAAAUAAAAAUGUAAAAAAUCAGAGAAGUGUGGACGAGCAACAAUCGAAUCGUCAAUCAGGAGAAAUGACGACUGAAACGAUAUCUCGCCAUCAUCUUUAUACCUUCUGUUCUUUGAUAUGACAAGACGAACUCAUUAUCGUCCCUCAUUUUUACGAAUAUCGAACAGAGGCGCAUAUCUGAAAUAAAAGCAAAUAUAUCAUCAAUCGGGAGAGGAAGUGUGAAUACCAGUCCCAGUGCCGGCGGGCAGUAUGUGUGGGGAGGAGGCGGAGAGGGACUGCAACGUCUGGGGAACCGAUGGGGGAAGGUGAAGGGAAGGGUGUCACUGGCGUAGUAAAUCAGCGCUUUGAAGUGAUUAGUACGCAAGUGUCACCUAUAGAGUCUAUAUAUAGACGGGGGCGGAUAGUUGGGUUACAAAACCCUAGAAAUCAAUUUAUUGACAUACCCUUUAACAAGAGUUAUCUCUUUUGAUCUUUCAGAACCCUUAACUAUCAAAUAUGGCACUUUAGCCCUCGUUUAACAUGUAAUUAGGUAAUUUCCUCUUUCG